AGUAAUGCCUAGGAAUCUGCCUGGUAGUGGGGGACAACGUUUCGAAAGGAACGCUAAUACCGCAUACGUCCUAUGGGAGAAAGCAGGGGACCUUCGGGCCUUGCGCUAUCAGAUGAGCCUAGGUCGGAUUAGCUAGUUGGUGAGGUAAUGGCUCACCAAGGCGACUAUCCGUAACUGGUCUGAGAGGAUGAUCAGUCACACUGGAACUGAGACACGGUCCAG
Molecule: ribosomal RNA, 222 nt
Filed under: uncultured Pseudomonadales bacterium
Lineage: Bacteria; Pseudomonadati; Pseudomonadota; Gammaproteobacteria; Pseudomonadales
Description: partial 16S ribosomal RNA
Rfam family: Bacterial small subunit ribosomal RNA
Source: RNAcentral